Molecule: long non-coding RNA, 210 nt
Filed under: Gossypium barbadense (sea-island cotton)
Lineage: Eukaryota; Viridiplantae; Streptophyta; Magnoliopsida; Malvales; Malvaceae
Description: long non-coding RNA (GBAR_LNC017686)
Source: RNAcentral
GAAAAACAAAGGAGAAGGCGGUGGCAGUGCCUCUACUACCAUAACUCCCAAGCAAAUGGUGACAUCUCUUAGGUUUCUCAAAUGAAACCCUUUGAAUAGUUAUUUGUAUGAACCACAAAAAUACCCAGACUGUGAAAACCUGUCGUUUUAGAUGCAGAUCACAGCUUCUUAUGUUUUUUUUCUUUUUCUUUUGGAUAAGGUUAACCCUAC